UCUCAAGUUGUCUUUAUAAGUGAACACAUUCAGGGGCUACUUUGAAGGCACAGAUGAAAGCUAUUGGAUUUGAUAUGGGGCCUGCAGGGAAAAGAGCCAGCAAGAAUUAUGGCUCUGCGUGGGCCUGAGCAUCUCUGUUAAUUCUGUGAGAUGGAGAAGACAAGAUAAAAGCAUAUUUACACUAAAUGUUAAAAAAAAUCUCAUUAACACAAUCAGAAGAGUCUCUAAAAAUUCCUUAAGGCUGUUUCUUGUAAAGUUAGCUUACUUUCAUAAAAGAAACUCCACUAGAAUUUCAAUCUUUAAUUACAAAAAUGCCUUCACUGGAGUAACGGGUGGCAAAAAUGUGUAUUUGGUUUAGAAGCUGCUACUUGCAAGCAUUUUUAUUACUUCUGGAACAUAAGUGAGGACAAAAAUAGUUCAUAAUAAGAUAUAGAUUUAUAUAUGUCUUUGUAUAUGUCCUUCUCAACAAGCUGUCUAGGCUAAAUUAGAUAGUGUUUACAGUAAAUACAUGUUUACUUGUACUUUUUCUUUUCUUCUUAAAAUCUAUUUUCUUCCAUGGAAGCACAAGAAAAACAGAUCAGCAGCUAGAGUGUCUUACUUGCCUUUAAAAAUAAAAGCAGCUAUGUUCAUGCUGAGUUAUAGAUGAGGAAGAAUAACCUGUUAACCUUUCCUUUCACUGGAAACAUAACAAGAACGAAUUAUGGAAGUUGUGACUAGAGUUAGGCACAGAGUAAGAAUUUUUGGCAGUAAAUAAGUCUUAUAAAUAAGUAGAUGUUUGUCUAGAGGCACCUAGACUUUAGGUUAUAACAAAACAUUUUUCUGUAACAGGUUUACAAAGAAACAAUAAACUUUUAAAAAUCUCCACAGCAAUCUGUUCUUUUAAUUACUAUUACAUAAUAAGAGAAAUGACGAAUAAGUAUAUUUACCUAAAAAUACAACCACAUUUUCUUCAGUAAUACUGAAUAGCUUCAAGGGACUAUUUGAGGGCUGUUAUAUUUGUUGAAAUAAUCUCUAAGGUACUAUAUGAGGAUUCUUUACUUUAUAAGCAAAUUUCAGCGAGGUUUUUUCAUGGUAUGCUUUGAAUGCCCCUUCCAUGAUUUGAGCCAAUAAAUGGAAGUGUUUCAAGUUAACAGAUGGACAAAACUAUAUGAAAUUUUCCAGAUCACUGUCAAUAUUUAAUUUUUUUCUCAGUUUCAUGAAUUUUUGAUAUAGGACUACCUCUCAGAUCUGGACAAAAUUAUCCAAUUGUUCAGGGUUUAUGUAUUUUAAAACAAGUGAGCAGAUCCUGUAUGAUCAUACUUUUUGUCAAAUUCAUUGUAUUUUAGUUGUUGUCAAGUUGUCUUUAUGAGUGCAACUGAAUUGUGAAGUGUUCAAUUCUUUAAAGAUUCAGAAACUCUGGAAAAGCAGAAUUGCAAGAUUUUCCAGAAUGACUGCCUCAGGGACUGAAGAGAUAAGGUCUGAAGUCUUUUCUCUAAACUUACUGCAGGCAGUAAACAUUGAUUAGCUCACCUUUGCUUAGGUCAAAAUGUGUAGUGUACAUAUAUUUUGAAGGGAGAGAAUUAUAAAAAGGAGAGAAACUAGUUUCUCACUGUGACAUGCUCCCCCAAACAGGAAAUAUUGCCACAAAUGGUGAUUUCAGUUUUUCUCAUUGCCUAUUGAGUAGGUCAGUGUGGGACCUUAAAUUUAUUUUAUGAUAUGUGACUUUCAACUCUUACUAGACUUGCAGAGAGACUCUCAGCUCUAAUAAUGUAUGAUUCCAAGAAUAGCCAAAUUUAAUUAAUACUGAGGAAAACGUACCAAAUUUAAUUAAUACUCAGGAAAACGUUCCCAUUCAUCACAUUAUAUGUAUGAUUUGCUACUUUAUAACAAUUUUGUGUUUAUUGCCUCACUUUUAUAUCGAUUAUUAAAUGUGUAAUAACAAACUAUUGGCUUAAUUCAGCAUAAAUUACUCAGUAGAAAUCAAAUGUAAUUUGCUUAUUAUAAGGAAAUUAAGCCAGUUCAAAAUUGUGUGUCUUUACGUUUAGCCAUCUUUAGUAUGAUGUUAAAAUGUUUAAUUAUUUCAUACAUUGAAUGCAAUGAAUUAAAGUAAAUUUGUUGUUCCUGUGCCUUAUCAGGUUGUAUAUAUUCAACAACUAGUGCUAGAGUUGCAAGAGAACUGUCAAAUUCUAAAGACAAAAAUUUGUUCUCAUUUAAUUUUUU
Long non-coding RNA from Sapajus apella (tufted capuchin), 2199 nucleotides. RefSeq lists it as uncharacterized. The record is from RefSeq and is a predicted model, not a curated record. NCBI's taxonomy places the organism in Eukaryota, Metazoa, Chordata, Mammalia, Primates, Cebidae. The transcript is spliced from 3 exons.